AGGUAAGGGUGAAAGGGUGCGGUAAGAGCGCACCGCGCGUCUGGUAACAGUUCGCGGCACGGUAAACUCCACCCGGAGCAAGGCCAAAUAGGGGUUCAUAAGGUACGGCCCCGUACUGAACCCGGGUAGGCUGCUUGAGCCAGUGAGCGAUUGCUGGCCUAGAUGAAUGACUGUCCACGACAGAACCCGGCUUAACGGUCAGCUUCCUCA
Molecule: RNase P RNA, 210 nt
Filed under: Klebsiella michiganensis
Lineage: Bacteria; Pseudomonadati; Pseudomonadota; Gammaproteobacteria; Enterobacterales; Enterobacteriaceae
Description: partial RNase P RNA component class A
Rfam family: Bacterial RNase P class A
About the family: Ribonuclease P (RNase P) is a ubiquitous endoribonuclease, found in archaea, bacteria and eukarya as well as chloroplasts and mitochondria. Its best characterised activity is the generation of mature 5'-ends of tRNAs by cleaving the 5'-leader elements of precursor-tRNAs.
Source: RNAcentral